CCAUUGUGCUACAGUGGGAACUCCAUGAAGUGGUGUCUCCAGGAGUUGCUGCGGUACAACAGGAUUGGUGGCGUCUCUGUAAAGCUAGGACGGCCGAACCCACAUGUAUGG
Long non-coding RNA from Phacochoerus africanus (Common warthog), 111 nucleotides. RefSeq lists it as uncharacterized. The record is from RefSeq and is a predicted model, not a curated record. The transcript is spliced from 3 exons. Lineage: Eukaryota; Metazoa; Chordata; Mammalia; Artiodactyla; Suidae.